RNAcentral lists this long non-coding RNA (292 nucleotides) under Columba livia (rock pigeon). RNAcentral describes it as "partial uncharacterized LOC106145965". Lineage: Eukaryota; Metazoa; Chordata; Aves; Columbiformes; Columbidae. The record is from RNAcentral.
GGCGGGACGGAAAACCCUGGCGGCGGGGGCGCCGGCGGGCAGUUCGGGCUCUGCAGUGACAACAGCUGAGAAAAAACCCGUGACGCCAGGACCACCGCUUAGGAAGUGGGAACUUUCGAAAGACCAGCCCUAUUUGUGAGAAGUAAACGUGCUGAGGUGGGAUGCGCAGGUCACGGUUCGUUACAAAGCAGCACUUUAACGGGGAGGCCCGCGGUGGACUUUGCUGCAGUGAUGCUGCAUGGAACUUGUCCUCAUGCUGCUGGCGCAUGACUAAUAAAUGUAUUUAAAGCUG